RNAcentral lists this ribosomal RNA (557 nucleotides) under uncultured bacterium. RNAcentral's name for it is "bacterial SSU rRNA". It matches the Rfam family "Bacterial small subunit ribosomal RNA", at positions 102 to 694 of the family's 1533-position model. The record is from RNAcentral.
ACGGGUGAGUAACGCGUGGGAAUCUACCCAUCUCUACGGAAUAACGCAUGGAAACGUGUGCUAAUACCGUAUACGUCCUUCGGGAGAAAGAUUUAUCGGAGAUGGAUGAGCCCGCGUUGGAUUAGCUAGUUGGUGGGGUAAAGGCCUACCAAGGCGACGAUCCAUAGCUGGUCUGAGAGGAUGAUCAGCCACACUGGGACUGAGACACGGCCCAGACUCCUACGGGAGGCAGCGGUGGGGAAUAUUGGACAAUGGGCGCAAGCCUGAUCCAGCCAUGCCGCGUGAGUGAUGAAGGCCCUGGGGUUGUAAAGCUCUUUCACCGGUGAAGAUAAUGACGGUAACCGGAGAAGAAGCCCCGGCUAACUUCGUGCCAGCAGCCGCGGUAAUACGAAGGGGGCUAGCGUUGUUCGGAUUUACUGGGCGUAAAGCGCACGUAGGCGGACUAUUAAGUCAGGGGUGAAAUCCCGGGGCUCAACCCCGGAACUGCCUUUGAUACUGGUAGUCUUGAGUUCGAGAGAGGUGAGUGGAAUUCCGAGUGUAGAGGUGAAAUUCGUAGA